GGACGAACGCUGGCGGCGUGCUUAACACAUGCAAGUCGAACGGUAAGGCCCUUCGGGGUACACGAGUGGCGAACGGGUGAGUAACACGUGGGUGAUCUGCCCUGCACUUCGGGAUAAGCCUGGGAAACUGGGUCUAAUACCGGAUAGGACCAUGGACUUCACGGUUUGUGGUGGAAAGCUUUUGCGGUGUGGGAUGGGCCCGCGGCCUAUCAGCUUGUUGGUGGGGGUAAUGGGCCUACCAAGGCGACGACGGGUAGCCGGCCUGAGAGGGUGUCCGGCCACACUGGGACUGAGAUACGGCCCAGACUCCUACGGGAGGCAGCAGUGGGGAAUAUUGCACAAUGGGCGCAAGCCUGAUGCAGCGACGCCGCGUGAGGGAUGACGGCCUUCGGGUUGUAAACCUCUUUCAAUAGGGACGAAGCGCAAGUGACGGUACCUAUAGAAGAAGCACCGGCCAACUACGUG
This 465-nucleotide ribosomal RNA is filed under the name uncultured bacterium. RNAcentral describes it as "bacterial SSU rRNA". It matches the Rfam family "Bacterial small subunit ribosomal RNA", at positions 27 to 507 of the family's 1533-position model. The record is from RNAcentral.